This 440-nucleotide ribosomal RNA is filed under the name uncultured bacterium. RNAcentral's name for it is "partial 16S ribosomal RNA". It matches the Rfam family "Bacterial small subunit ribosomal RNA", at positions 338 to 795 of the family's 1533-position model. The record is from RNAcentral.
CCUCCUUUGUGCCGCCGUAGGGAAUAUUGCUCAAUGGGGGCAACCCUGAAGCAGCCACGCCGCGUGGAGGAUGAAGGUUUUAGGAUUGUAAACUACUUUUGUGAGAGAAGAUAAUGACGGUAUCUCACGAAUAAGCACCGGCUAACUCCGUGCCAGCAGCCGCGGUAAUACGGCGGGUGCAAGCGUUACUCGGAAUCACUGGGCGUAAAGAGUGCGCAGGCGGGCUGGUAAGUCAGAUGUGAAAUCCUGUAGCUUAACUACAGAACUGCAUUUGAAACUAUGAGUCUAGAGUGUGGGAGAGGUAGGUGGAAUUCUUGGUGUAGGGGUAAAAUCCGUAGAUAUCAAGAGGAAUACUCAUGGCGAAGGCGACCUACUGGAACAUUACUGACGCUCAUGCACGAAAGCGUGGGGAGCAAACAGGAUUAGAUACCCGGGUAGUC